CGCUGACCUAAUAGUAGUGGGUUAUCAGAACUUAUUAAUAUUAGUGUCACUAAAGUUGGUAUACAACCCCUAACUGCUAAAUUUGACUGACAUUAA
Molecule: unclassified non-coding RNA, 96 nt
Organism: Chlorocebus sabaeus (green monkey)
Lineage: Eukaryota; Metazoa; Chordata; Mammalia; Primates; Cercopithecidae
Rfam family: Y RNA
About the family: Y RNAs are components of the Ro ribonucleoprotein particle (Ro RNP), in association with Ro60 and La proteins. The Y RNAs and Ro60 and La proteins are well conserved, but the function of the Ro RNP is not known.
Source: Ensembl